Molecule: non-coding RNA, 23 nt
Filed under: Gallus gallus (chicken)
Lineage: Eukaryota; Metazoa; Chordata; Aves; Galliformes; Phasianidae
Also listed under: 1 other name
Source: RNAcentral
AGCUGGUGUUGUGAAUCAUGCCG